CUCACGUUUUGCCCUUGGGUCUUGUGACUAGUUGUAUGUAAUCGCUCCUGUUUGAUUGCCUUCAUUGAGUGGACAACUGCUACAAUUACAGCCAAUUAACAAUGUGCACAGGAGUUGCUUGCGCUGCAGAAAGAUCAGCGGAGCAUUCGUUUGUGGGUGGUGCUAAACCGUGAAAGAACUCGUAUUAAAAUGUGGAGUGGAUCACAA
This is a long non-coding RNA of Syngnathus typhle (broad-nosed pipefish), 207 nucleotides long. RefSeq lists it as uncharacterized. The transcript has 2 exons. The record is from RefSeq and is a predicted model, not a curated record. Lineage: Eukaryota; Metazoa; Chordata; Actinopteri; Syngnathiformes; Syngnathidae.